This 23-nucleotide non-coding RNA is filed under the name Arabidopsis thaliana (thale cress). The record is from RNAcentral. Lineage: Eukaryota; Viridiplantae; Streptophyta; Magnoliopsida; Brassicales; Brassicaceae.
CACCUUGCCUAUAAACUUAGCUU